GACGAACGCUGGCGGCGUGCUUAACACAUGCAAGUCGAACGUAAAGGCCCUGCUUGCAGGGUACUCGAGUGGCGAACGGGUGAGUAACACGUGGGUGAUCUGCCCUUCACUUCGUGAUACGCCUGGUAAACUGGGUCUAAUACCGGAUAGGAGCCAUUUUUAGUGUGAUGGUUGGAAAGUUUUUUCGGUGUAGGAUGAGCUCGCGGCCUAUCAGCUUGUUGGUGGGGUAAUGGCCUACCAAGGCGGCGACGGGUAGCCGGCCUGAGAGGGUGGACGGCCACAUUGGGACUGAGAUACGGCCCAGACUCCUACGGGAGGCAGCAGUGGGGAAUAUUGCACAAUGGGCGCAAGCCUGAUGCAGCGACGCCGCGUGGGGGAUGACGGCCUUCGGGUUGGAAACUCCUUUCGCUAGGGACGAAGCUUUUUGUGACGGUACCUAGAUAAGAAGCACCGGCUAACUACGUG
Molecule: ribosomal RNA, 465 nt
Filed under: uncultured bacterium
Lineage: Bacteria
Description: partial 16S ribosomal RNA
Rfam family: Bacterial small subunit ribosomal RNA
Source: RNAcentral